This 265-nucleotide unclassified non-coding RNA is filed under the name Bombus terrestris (buff-tailed bumblebee). RNAcentral's name for it is "misc RNA ENSBTSG00005026012.1". Lineage: Eukaryota; Metazoa; Arthropoda; Insecta; Hymenoptera; Apidae. The record is from RNAcentral.
CGACAGUCGGAACCGGCGCGGCGUGGCGAGGCGCGCCGUAACGCAGAAAGAGGAAGAUAGGUGCAAAGAAGUAGCUGGAGAAACUUAUCUUCGACCUCGUACGCCUCGAUCAACCGAAACAAGAGCUAUCGGCAACCUGUUUCCAAAUUACUUGCUCGCGAAUCGAACACGAGCGAGCCAAACUGGAACGCGAGCGUCCAGCUUGAGCGGACGUGGACGACGAGAUCGAUGCCUUUAGGCACUGUGAGAGCUUCGUGGUGCACCU